This is a long non-coding RNA of Polypterus senegalus (gray bichir), 507 nucleotides long. RefSeq lists it as uncharacterized. NCBI's taxonomy places the organism in Eukaryota, Metazoa, Chordata, Cladistia, Polypteriformes, Polypteridae. The record is from RefSeq and is a predicted model, not a curated record. The transcript is spliced from 4 exons.
GCAGCAUUUUCAGAGCUUCUGCACUGUUUUAUAAACGAACGAUUACCUUGCUUGGGAUUCAAGGAGGCAUUGAUGUGAGAGACAUCAUGGAGAAUCAUGAGGCAAACUUUGACCAAUUCAUUGACCAAACAACUUAACUGGAGGGGAAUAAAUGGAAAAACAUGUUUUCAUAGCCUUCACAUUAAGGAUAUUGUGAUUGAUGCAGUACAAAGAAACUCUGUAACAUAAAGAGCCACAACUCAGGAAAUAGAAAUUUGGAUUAAGAGAUGGCUUCAUCUGGCUGCAGAUAGGGAUGGAGGGAGACAAGAAAGAAUGGAGCGUCAGAGGAAAAACAACUAUCAAGAAUCAGGUGAAAUGCAUGUUCUUUCAAGUCAUCAUUAAGACCGGCCUUCUAAAUCUUUGCUGAGGACAAGUUGGACUCUUACAUCACCAAUUGUAAUGGAAGGAUUUUUCUAAAGAGAGGAAGGGAAUCAGGAGAGCAGAUGGGCGUUGAUUGCUCCAGUGCAA